This 720-nucleotide ribosomal RNA is filed under the name uncultured bacterium. RNAcentral describes it as "bacterial SSU rRNA". It matches the Rfam family "Bacterial small subunit ribosomal RNA", at positions 776 to 1496 of the family's 1533-position model. The record is from RNAcentral.
GAUUAGAUACCCUGGUAGUCCACGCCGUAAACGAUGUCGACUUGGAGGUUGUUCCCUUGAGGAGUGGCUUCCGGAGCUAACGCGUUAAGUCGACCGCCUGGGGAGUACGGCCGCAAGGUUAAAACUCAAAUGAAUUGACGGGGGCCCGCACAAGCGGUGGAGCAUGUGGUUUAAUUCGAUGCAACGCGAAGAACCUUACCUACUCUUGACAUCCAGAGAACUUAGCAGAGAUGCUUUGGUGCCUUCGGGAACUCUGAGACAGGUGCUGCAUGGCUGUCGUCAGCUCGUGUUGUGAAAUGUUGGGUUAAGUCCCGCAACGAGCGCAACCCUUAUCCUUUGUUGCCAGCGAUUCGGUCGGGAACUCAAAGGAGACUGCCGGUGAUAAACCGGAGGAAGGUGGGGAUGACGUCAAGUCAUCAUGGCCCUUACGAGUAGGGCUACACACGUGCUACAAUGGCGCAUACAAAGAGAAGCGACCUCGCGAGAGCAAGCGGACCUCAUAAAGUGCGUCGUAGUCCGGACCGGAGUCUGCAACUCGACUCCGUGAAGUCGGAAUCGCUAGUAAUCGUGGAUCAGAAUGCCACGGUGAAUACGUUCCCGGGCCUUGUACACACCGCCCGUCACACCAUGGGAGUGGGUUGCAAAAGAAGUAGGUAGCUUAACCUUCGGGAGGGCGCUUACCACUUUGUGAUUCAUGACUGGGGUGAAGUCGUAACAAGG